RNAcentral lists this ribosomal RNA (1342 nucleotides) under fungal sp. RNAcentral describes it as "eukaryotic LSU rRNA". The stretch from base 460 to 1342 matches the Rfam family "Eukaryotic large subunit ribosomal RNA", at positions 1 to 909 of the family's 3401-position model. The record is from RNAcentral. Lineage: Eukaryota; Fungi.
AUCAUUACCGGGCUCAGGGGGGGAAACCCCCCGAACUCCCAACCCUUGCUUACCUACCACGUUGCUUCGGCGGGUUCGCGCCCGCCGGAGGUCAAACAAACUCUCGUUUACAGACGUCAGAGCGAAUGCGAAAAUAAGUAAAAACUUUCAACAACGGAUCUCUUGGUUCUGGCAUCGAUGAAGAACGCAGCGAAAUGCGAUAAGUAAUGUGAAUUGCAGAAUUCAGUGAAUCAUCGAAUCUUUGAACGCACAUUGCGCCCCUUGGUAUUCCGAGGGGCAUGCCUGUCCGAGCGUCAUUUCACCAAUCAAGCCCAGCUUGGUAUUGGGCCUCGUCCGCAAAGGACGGGCCUCGAAGACCCCGGCCGCGCGGUCCCGCUUCAGGCGUAGCAGAGCUUUCGCAGCCUCGCCUUGGAAGCGUGUCCGUGUCGCGCCGAAUGACGAACCCCUUUCCAUCAAGGUUGACCUCGGAUCAGGUAGGGAUACCCGCUGAACUUAAGCAUAUCAAUAAGCGGAGGAAAAGAAACCAACAGGGAUUGCCCUAGUAACGGCGAGUGAAGCGGCAACAGCUCAAAUUUGAAAUCUGGCUCCUUCGGGGUCCGAGUUGUAAUUUGCAGAGGAUGCUUCGGGGUCGGAUCCGGUCUAAGUUCCUUGGAACAGGACGUCGUAGAGGGUGAGAAUCCCGUAUGCGACCGGCAGACGUCCCCGUGUGAAGCUCCUUCGACGAGUCGAGUUGUUUGGGAAUGCAGCUCUAAAUGGGAGGUAAAUUUCUUCUAAAGCUAAAUACCGGCCAGAGACCGAUAGCGCACAAGUAGAGUGAUCGAAAGAUGAAAAGCACUUUGAAAAGAGAGUUAAAAAGUACGUGAAAUUGUUGAAAGGGAAGCGCUUGCGACCAGACUUGCCCGCGGUUGCUCAGCCCUCUGGGCGUACUCUUCCGCGGUCAGGCCAGCAUCGGUUCGGGCGGGCGGAUAAAGGUCCCGGGAACGUGGCUCCCCUCGGGGAGUGUUAUAGCCCGGGGCGCAAUGCGCCCUGUCCGGACCGAGGACCGCGCUUCGGCUAGGAUGCUGGCGUAAUGGUCGUAAGCGGCCCGUCUUGAAACACGGACCAAGGAGUCUAACAUCUGUGCGAGUGUUUGGGUGUCAAACCCAUGCGCGUAAUGAAAGUGAACGGAGGUGGGAACCCCUCGGGGCGCACCAUCGACCGAUCCUGAUGUCUUCGGAAGGAUUUGAGUAAGAGCACAGCUGUUGGGACCCGAAAGAUGGUGAACUAUGCCUGAAUAGGGCGAAGCCAGAGGAAACUCUGGUGGAGGCUCGCAGCGGUUCUGACGUGCAAAUCGAUCGUCGAA